CUCAAAGAUUAAGCCAUGCAAGUGGUUAUAUUAACCCGACAGUUUAAAUAAGUGUUAAAUGCUACAUUAAACUUCCACACACAUCGAACCACGCACACACACACAUACCCCGAUGAUUUUGUUUACGGUAGUAACAAUUUCUCAGCGUGAAUCACGACACACACCGUGAGUCACUGAAAUUUACACAUUCAGUAUCACUUACGCAACUGCAGACAGCUGCUUAAUACAGUCACACUUGUCUUGACUUGGCGUCAUUAUUUCACACCCACUGCGUACAGGGACAUUUUUUACACGUAACUGUGUGUCUCGGCACAUCACCUCGCGUAUUUUUUGUUCCUCACAGUGACCGUGAAAUUACACACACACACACACACGAUUUCUCUGUAUCGCUUAUUCUUCAAAGGACAUUGCGUUACACCGUGACAAUUUUUCUUUUAUGGAUAACUCAGGGAAAGUUUGGCUAAUACGUACGAGUAUUUUUACAAUACACACACGACGUCGACGAAUGUCUUACGACACACACACAUUUCUCACAGACACUCCUCUCGACACUCUACACUACUCAGCACUCAGUGGUAAACUUUGGCUGCGUUCGCGCAGUCAGUUUAAAGUUUAACUGCAACAUGAGAGACAUUGAGCACGCACGUGUCGUUCCCUCGGGAGCUUCACAUCACGCUGAGCAGACUUUGCGAAGUUUUACUUUGCGAAGCAUGUCAUACAAGCAUCUACAGCAUCAAGUCACAGGGUUGGCAAGUGUAUUUUUGAACCUUCAAAGCAGUCACGCAUACGGAAGAGUAGUUUCUGAUCCCAUAGAAGGAGCACCGUACAAUGAGAGACCGCUCUUAGUUCUAAGGAACGCAGCAGGCGCGUAAAUUGCCCAAUGCUAGUACCCUACAAUCUAUAUCUCUAUAUAUCAAUUGUUAUUACAAUGCGUUACAACAAUUUACAACUUAUACAAGUUUGAUUACACACAUAUAGCACUUCUAUUUUAYUCUGUCAACACAGAGAACACAUACAUCCUUGUUCGUUGUUUAUUCAGCAUUUUAGAACAUUUCAUCGAUCUAUAUCGGUAUUUUUCUAUUUACUGAGGCAGUGACAAGCUGUAACGGUUGAGUAUAAAAAUGACGAGUGUCUGGCAUUGCCGCUCUUUCGGGAGCUUGGCAAGUUGCCGACGCUUUGUGUGCUCAAUUGGAAUGCGGUGAGUUUAAGCAACUCAGAACCUUUGGACGGUGUUAGUAAAAUUUCACUGUUCGUGUAUCUGAAUUUCAAGUGGAGGGCAAGUCUGGUGCCAGCAGCCGCGGUAAUACCAGCUCCACUGGCCUAUACAAUCAUUGUUGCGGUUAAGAGGCUCGUAGUUGGAUUGAACUGCAAUCUUAUUCUUGAAUGAAUAUAUUGCGCUAUAGUUUUUAUCGCACACACACACAUACUCUGUGUCGUGUGCUGCGUUCGACGCUGUUAACUUCUCAGGUUUUCACGACGGCACCGUGCAUAUAUAUUCUCACACACACACGGCGAUAUAUGCUCGGGACACGUAAUACUAUACCACUCACAAUUUAUUCUCCUUUUCAACACUGUGAACAAAUCAGAGUGUAUCAAACAUGUCGUUUUUGAAUGUGCAUUGAAUGUCUUAUCAUGGGAUGUUGCACUUUCACCAUUAGGAAAAAAUUGCAUUGCGCUAUUUUUCUCUACACACACACACUUAACGUACAUGUCUACUUUACGCACAGCCAUCUGUGAUAAAGCUGUUUUUUUUCUAACGGUUAAAAAUGUCGAUGGGGAUAGUUGGAGUCAACAGUACUGCUGGGCGAGAGGUGAAAUUCAUUGACCCUAGCAAGACUACCAAAAGCGAAAGCAGUUGGCUAGGCUAUACUCUUUGUGAUUAUAUGCCAUACCCACACAAUUUACACUGUGUAGCUCACACACACACACACUCGGCGGCACGUGUAAUUUUCUACGUAUCGGCACUAUAUACACUUUACAAUGAAGAACGAAGGUUGGGGGAUCAAAGAGGAUCAGAUACCCUCGUCGUCCCAUUAAUUACAUCAAACGAUGGGCUCUCAAUUGCAUUUUUCAUUAAAUUGCAAAUUUCCUCAGCCUACAAAAUGACUUGGCUGAGCUCGUAUUUUUAAUACGCUCGCCUAAUUUUUUUCGUAUGGUCUCGAUGGACGUUUCAUUUAAAAUUUUUUUGCGUGUAAGCAUUUGUUAUUCUUUGAAACAUAAGAAUGCAUUGCGUGCACUUGAUUUUCGGAGCUUUGCGCUCAAUUCUGGUGAGAUGUAAGCACUAUGUCAUACUGCCCGCAGCGUAUAUCUUCGGGUAUUUCGUCUGUCGUGUGCAGUUGACAAUUUUGGUGUGAAGCACGCUUUAGGCACGCGCUUACUGCAGAAAUGUCUGAGACAUUCCCUUCCGGGGGAAGUAUGUACGCAAGUAUGAAACUUGAAGGAAUUGACGGAAGGGCACCACAAGAACGCGUGGAGCAUGUGGCUUAAUUUGACUCAACGCGGGAAAUCUUACCGGGUCCGGACACACUGAGGAUUGACAGGCAAUAUUAAUUUCGCUCCGGCGAUUUUAUGUUAAAUAUGCUAGUCCUUUCAUGAUUAUGUGAUAGGUGGUGCAUGGCCGUUCUUAGUUCGUGGAGUGAUCUGUCUGCUUAAUUGCGUUUCACUAAGGGCCUAUAAUUUAACGUGUGUUGCGGCACUUUGACCCCUCUUCGCGGAGCGUGCGUCUUGGCUUGUUUAGCUCACACAAUUAGGUCCUGAAAGCAACGAACGUGACCGAACCUCUUGUUGCCUUUAUACCAAACACAGUCUGUUCCUUUCUCUCGAAAGGGCUGCCGUGAAAAAAGGCUUUUUAAACUAGAGGGACCGCUGUUACUUUCUUAAACCAGAGGAAGGUUGCGGCAAUAACAGGUCUGUGAUGCCCUUAGAUGUUCCGGGCUGCACACGUGCUACAAUGAUUAUUGCAGUGAGCAUCUCAUUUUUUACACACCGCAUUCACGAGUCCAUUUAUUCAUUCCUUCGGGUUUGCUUUAAAUGUGCAUCUCUGUGAGCGGUAAAGCCUGCUUCGAAAGUAAGUGGGUAAUCAAUUAGGAGUAAUGAUUUCCUUUUUUUUCAGCACACAUAUAUACGGCGUUUAUACCCGGGCUGUCCUUGUUGAUAGCUUUUGUGUGUAUAGAUGUUUUUUCCGUAUGUGCAAUUGUCAAUUCAUGGUGGGGACAGACCAUUGUUAAUUGUUGGUCUCGGUCUUAACUAGGAAUGCCUUGUACGGGUCUUUGGUUCAACAAACCACCCGGAAUACGUCCCUGCCCUUUGUACACACCGCCCGUCGCUCUUACCGAUGGACUUCUCUGUGAGUUUGAGGGACUGGGAACGCAGUGCUCUUUACUGAGCUUACUGCACACCCAUGGAAACUUAAACGAACAGUGUGGUCUAAAGGAAAGAGAAGUCGUAACAAGGCAUUGGUAGGUGAACCU
This 3470-nucleotide ribosomal RNA is filed under the name Stainforthia fusiformis. RNAcentral describes it as "SSU rRNA". It matches the Rfam family "Eukaryotic small subunit ribosomal RNA". Lineage: Eukaryota; Foraminifera; Rotaliida; Stainforthiidae. The record is from RNAcentral.